RNAcentral lists this ribosomal RNA (1452 nucleotides) under human gut metagenome. RNAcentral describes it as "bacterial LSU rRNA". It matches the Rfam family "Bacterial large subunit ribosomal RNA", at positions 1061 to 2499 of the family's 2925-position model. The record is from RNAcentral.
AAGUGGAAAACGAUGUGGAAAUACGCAGACAACCAGGAUGUUGGCUCAGAAGCAGCCACUCAUUUAAAGAGUGCGUAAUAGCUCACUGGUCGAGAGACCCUGCGCCGAAGAUUACCGGGGCUAAAGUACGAAACCGAAGCUGUGGCUACGACUUAGGUCGUGGGGUAGGGGAGCGUUCUGUGAGGGCUGAAGUCGUUCUGUAAGGAACGGUGGACUUCACAGAAGUGAGAAUGUUGGUAUGAGUAGCGAAAAGAAUGGUGAGAAUCCAUUCCACCGAAAGCAUAAGGAUUCCUGGGCAACGAUCGUCGUCCCAGGGUAAGUCGGGACCUAAUCCGAGGCAUGGAGCGUAGGAGAUGGACAACUGGCAGAUAUUCCAGUACCGGUAAUGAUUGUUUGAGCGAUGGAGUGACACAGGAGGGCAGGCAGGCAGGAGAUUGGUUGUUCCUGUACAAGCGUGUAGGGUGGAACGUAGGCAAAUCCGCGUUCUGAGAGCCUGAGGCGUGAUGUGGAGGUUCCGGAAACGGAACUGAAGCUGCUGACCCCACACUGUCGAGAAAAGCUUCUAGUUAGAAAAUUACCGCCCGUACCGUAAACCGACACAGGUAUGCGGGGAGAGAAUCCUAAGGUGCGCGGGAGAACCCUCGUUAAGGAACUCGGCAAAAUGUACCCGUAACUUCGGGAUAAGGGUAGCCGCUGUUGUGAAGUCUGAACAGAUGGAGCAUGAGGCGGUCGCAGAGAAGAGGCCCAAGCGACUGUUUACCACAAACACAGGUGCCUGCUAAAGAGAAAUCUGACGUAUAGGUGCUGACACCUGCCCAGUGCCGGAAGGUUAAGGAAGGAUGUCCGGAGCAAUCCAAAGCAUUCGACCGAAGCCCCGGUGAACGGCGGCCGUAACUAUAACGGUCCUAAGGUAGCGAAAUUCCUUGUCGGGUAAGUUCCGACCCGCACGAAAGGUGUAACGAUUUGGGCACUGUCUCAACGAGGGACCCGGUGAAAUUGAAGUACCUGUGAAGAUGCAGGUUACCCGCGACUGGACAGAAAGACCCCAUGGAGCUUUACUGUAACCUGACAUUGGGUUCUGAUACAUCACGUACAGGAUAGGUGGGAGGCAUGGAAGCGAGGACGCUAGUCUUCGUGGAGCCGCCGUUGGGAUACCACCCUUGAUGUAUCGGAAUUCUAACCGUAGGAGUAACGAAACUCGGGACAGUGUCAGGCGGGCAGUUUGACUGGGGCGGUCGCCUCCCAAAGAGUAACGGAGGCGCCCAAAGGUACGCUCAGAUUGGAUGGAAACCAAUCGUCGAGUGCAAUUGCAGAAGCGUGCUUGACUGUGAGACUUACAAGUCGAACAGGGACGAAAGUCGGGAAUAGUGAUCCGGCGGUGCCGAAUGGAAGGGCCGUCGCUCAACGGAUAAAAGCUACCCUGGGGAUAACAGGCUGAUCUCCCCCAAGAGU